AAAUUGAAGAGUUUGAUCAUGGCUCAGAUUGAACGCUGGCGGCAGGCCUAACACAUGCAAGUCGAGCGGUAGCACAGAGAGCUUGCUCUCGGGUGACGAGCGGCGGACGGGUGAGUAAUGUCUGGGAAACUGCCUGAUGGAGGGGGAUAACUACUGGAAACGGUAGCUAAUACCGCAUAACGUCGCAAGACCAAAGUGGGGGACCUUCGGGCCUCAUGCCAUCAGAUGUGCCCAGAUGGGAUUAGCUAGUAGGUGGGGUAACGGCUCACCUAGGCGACGAUCCCUAGCUGGUCUGAGAGGAUGACCAGCCACACUGGAACUGAGACACGGUCCAGACUCCUACGGGAGGCAGCAGUGGGGAAUAUUGCACAAUGGGCGCAAGCCUGAUGCAGCCAUGCCGCGUGUGUGAAGAAGGCCUUCGGGUUGUAAAGCACUUUCAGCGGGGAGGAAGGCGAUAAGGUUAAUAACCUUGUCGAUUGACGUUACCCGCAGAAGAAGCACCGGCUAACUCCGUGCCAGCAGCCGCGGUAAUACGGAGGGUGCAAGCGUUAAUCGGAAUUACUGGGCGUAAAGCGCACGCAGGCGGUCUGUCAAGUCGGAUGUGAAAUCCCCGGGCUCAACCUGGGAACUGCAUUCGAAACUGGCAGGCUAGAGUCUUGUAGAGGGGGGUAGAAUUCCAGGUGUAGCGGUGAAAUGCGUAGAGAUCUGGAGGAAUACCGGUGGCGAAGGCGGCCCCCUGGACAAAGACUGACGCUCAGGUGCGAAAGCGUGGGGAGCAAACAGGAUUAGAUACCCUGGUAGUCCACGCCGUAAACGAUGUCGAUUUGGAGGUUGUGCCCUUGAGGCGUGGCUUCCGGAGCUAACGCGUUAAAUCGACCGCCUGGGGAGUACGGCCGCAAGGUUAAAACUCAAAUGAAUUGACGGGGGCCCGCACAAGCGGUGGAGCAUGUGGUUUAAUUCGAUGCAACGCGAAGAACCUUACCUGGUCUUGACAUCCACAGAACUUAGCAGAGAUGCUUUGGUGCCUUCGGGAACUGUGAGACAGGUGCUGCAUGGCUGUCGUCAGCUCGUGUUGUGAAAUGUUGGGUUAAGUCCCGCAACGAGCGCAACCCUUAUCCUUUGUUGCCAGCGGUUAGGCCGGGAACUCAAAGGAGACUGCCAGUGAUAAACUGGAGGAAGGUGGGGAUGACGUCAAGUCAUCAUGGCCCUUACGACCAGGGCUACACACGUGCUACAAUGGCAUAUACAAAGAGAAGCGACCUCGCGAGAGCAAGCGGACCUCAUAAAGUAUGUCGUAGUCCGGAUUGGAGUCUGCAACUCGACUCCAUGAAGUCGGAAUCGCUAGUAAUCGUAGAUCAGAAUGCUACGGUGAAUACGUUCCCGGGCCUUGUACACACCGCCCGUCACACCAUGGGAGUGGGUUGCAAAAGAAGUAGGUAGCUUAACCUUCGGGAGGGCGCUUACCACUUUGUGAUUCAUGACUGGGGUGAAGUCGUAACAAGGUAACCGUAGGGGAACCUGCGGUUGGAUCACCUCCUUA
This 1540-nucleotide ribosomal RNA is filed under the name Klebsiella pneumoniae. Its description in RNAcentral is "bacterial SSU rRNA". It matches the Rfam family "Bacterial small subunit ribosomal RNA". The record is from RNAcentral. Lineage: Bacteria; Pseudomonadati; Pseudomonadota; Gammaproteobacteria; Enterobacterales; Enterobacteriaceae. RNAcentral also lists the same sequence under 9 other names.